Molecule: non-coding RNA, 266 nt
Filed under: Thermoactinomyces sp.
Lineage: Bacteria; Bacillati; Bacillota; Bacilli; Caryophanales; Thermoactinomycetaceae
Description: T-box sequence
Rfam family: T-box leader
About the family: Uncharged tRNA acts as the effector for transcription antitermination of genes in the T-box leader family. T-boxes are found upstream of many aminoacyl-tRNA synthetase genes and some amino acid biosynthetic genes usually in Gram-positive bacteria.
Source: RNAcentral
AUGACAGCGAUGAGCAAGAUCAGUAAGCAGAAGUGCUCCUUUACAGGGAAGAGGAACCUUAGACUGCAAGUGCCUCUAUGGAAGCGACUGCUGAAUUCACUUGUGAGCUGAAUCUUUGAACAGAAGACAGAUGAUUGUCUUCUAAAUAGAGGGUUUCCGGUUUUAGCCACCGUUAUCAGGUUCGAAAGUGGAAAGAAAGAGCUGAGCCUAUUUCAGGAUCUUUCUUUCAAAAAGGGUGGUACCACGGAAAGACUUUCGUCCCUUUA